This 274-nucleotide ribosomal RNA is filed under the name uncultured bacterium. Its description in RNAcentral is "partial 16S ribosomal RNA". It matches the Rfam family "Bacterial small subunit ribosomal RNA", at positions 523 to 796 of the family's 1533-position model. The record is from RNAcentral.
AUACGGAGAGUGCAAGCGUUGUUCGGAAUCACUGGGCGUAAAGGGCGCGCAGGCGGUUUGGCAAGUCAGAUGUGAAAGCCCACGGCUCAACCGUGGAAGUGCAUUUGAAACUGCCAGACUUGAGUACCAGAGGGGAAAGUGGAAUUCCCGGUGUAGAGGUGAAAUUCGUAGAUAUCGGGAGGAAUACCGGUGGCGAAGGCGACUUUCUGGCUGGAUACUGACGCUGAGGCGCGAAAGCGUGGGGAGCAAACAGGAUUAGAUACCCUAGUAGUCC